Molecule: ribosomal RNA, 251 nt
Filed under: uncultured Anaerococcus sp.
Lineage: Bacteria; Bacillati; Bacillota; Tissierellia; Tissierellales; Peptoniphilaceae
Description: partial 16S ribosomal RNA
Rfam family: Bacterial small subunit ribosomal RNA
Source: RNAcentral
CGGAUUAGCGGCGGACGGGUGAGUAACACGUGAGUAACCUGCCUUACACAAGGGGAUAGCCUCUGGAAACGGAGAAUAAUACCCUAUAAAGUCUAAUCAGCUCCUGCUGGAAAGACCAAAGAUUUAUCGGUGUAAGAUGGACUUGCGUCUGAUUAGCUAGUUGGUGAGAUAAAAGCUCACCAAGGCGACGAUCAGUAGCCGGCUUGAGAGAGUGUACGGCCACAUUGGGACUGAGACACGGCCCAAACUCC